GAUGAAGAACGCAGCGAAAUGCGAUAAGUAGUGUGAAUUGCAGAAUUCAGUGAAUCAUCGAAUCUUUGAACGCACAUUGCGCCCCUUGGUAUUCCAUGGGGCAUGCCUGUUCGAGCGUCAUUUGUACCUUCAAGCUUUGCUUGGUGUUGGGUGUUUGUCCCUCGGGACUCGCCUUAAAGUCAUUGGCAGCCAGUGUUUUGGUUUUGAAGCGUAGCACAAGUCGCGAUUCAAGGCUAUCCGCCCGCUUCCACAAGCCUUUUUCACUUUUGACCUCGGAUCAGGUAGGGAUACCCGCUGAACUUAAGCAUAUCAAUAAGCGGAGGA
RNAcentral lists this unclassified non-coding RNA (324 nucleotides) under soil metagenome. RNAcentral describes it as "partial contains 5.8S ribosomal RNA, internal transcribed spacer 2, and large subunit ribosomal RNA". The stretch from base 1 to 120 matches the Rfam family "5.8S ribosomal RNA", at positions 35 to 154 of the family's 154-position model. The record is from RNAcentral.